This 253-nucleotide ribosomal RNA is filed under the name uncultured bacterium. Its description in RNAcentral is "partial 16S ribosomal RNA". It matches the Rfam family "Bacterial small subunit ribosomal RNA", at positions 524 to 776 of the family's 1533-position model. The record is from RNAcentral.
UACGUAGGGGGCUAGCGUUGUCCGGAAUCAUUGGGCGUAAAGCGCGUGUAGGCGGUUCGGUAAGUCCGCUGUGAAAGUCGGCGGCUCAACCCUCGAAUGCCGGUGGAUACUGUCGGACUAGAGUACGGAAGAGGCGAGUGGAAUUCCUGGUGUAGCGGUGAAAUGCGCAGAUAUCAGGAGGAACACCAAUUGCGAAGGCAGCUCGCUGGGACGUUACUGACGCUGAGACGCGAAAGCGUGGGGAGCAAACAGG